RNAcentral lists this transfer RNA (61 nucleotides) under Biomphalaria pfeifferi. Its description in RNAcentral is "tRNA-Ser". The record is from RNAcentral. Lineage: Eukaryota; Metazoa; Mollusca; Gastropoda; Planorbidae.
UUUUUGUUUUAUAAAAAAUUAGAUUUUGAAAAUCUAAAAUGGAAUAUUUUUCCACAAAAAG